GCCUGGGUGGCUCAGUCGGUUGAGCAUCUGACUUUGGGUCAGGUCAUGAUCUCAUGGUUUGUGAGUUUGAGCCCCACAUUAGGCU
Molecule: transfer RNA, 85 nt
Filed under: Felis catus (domestic cat)
Lineage: Eukaryota; Metazoa; Chordata; Mammalia; Carnivora; Felidae
Rfam family: tRNA
About the family: Transfer RNA (tRNA) molecules are approximately 80 nucleotides in length.
Source: Rfam by way of RNAcentral